This 253-nucleotide ribosomal RNA is filed under the name uncultured bacterium. Its description in RNAcentral is "partial 16S ribosomal RNA". It matches the Rfam family "Bacterial small subunit ribosomal RNA", at positions 524 to 776 of the family's 1533-position model. The record is from RNAcentral.
UACGUAGGGUGCAAGCGUUAUCCGGAAUUAUUGGGCGUAAAGAGCUCGUAGGCGGUUUGUCGCGUCUGCUGUGAAAACCCGAGGCUCAACCUCGGGCCUGCAGUGGGUACGGGCAGACUAGAGUGCGGUAGGGGAGAUUGGAAUUCCUGGUGUAGCGGUGGAAUGCGCAGAUAUCAGGAGGAACACCGAUGGCGAAGGCAGAUCUCUGGGCCGUAACUGACGCUAAGGAGCGAAAGCGUGGGGAGCGAACAGG